GACGAACGCUGGCGGCGUGCUUAACACAUGCAAGUCGAGCGGUAAGGCCCUUUCGGGGGUACACGAGCGGCGAACGGGUGAGUAACACGUGGGUGACCUGCCCUCAGCUCUGGGAUAAGCCUGGGAAACCGGGUCUAAUACUGGAUAUGACUCCAUGACGUAUGUUGUGGGGUGGAAAGCCUUGUGCGGCUGAGGAUGGGCCCGCGGCCUAUCAGCUUGUUGGUGGGGUGAUGGCCUACCAAGGCGACGACGGGUAGCCGGCCUGAGAGGGCGACCGGCCACACUGGGACUGAGACACGGCCCAGACUCCUACGGGAGGCAGCAGUGGGGAAUCUUGCGCAAUGGGCGAAAGCCUGACGCAGCGACGCCGCGUGAGGGAUGACGGCCU
This 388-nucleotide ribosomal RNA is filed under the name uncultured bacterium. RNAcentral's name for it is "bacterial SSU rRNA". It matches the Rfam family "Bacterial small subunit ribosomal RNA", at positions 28 to 417 of the family's 1533-position model. The record is from RNAcentral.